This is a long non-coding RNA of Anser brachyrhynchus (Pink-footed goose), 1152 nucleotides long. The record is from Ensembl. NCBI's taxonomy places the organism in Eukaryota, Metazoa, Chordata, Aves, Anseriformes, Anatidae.
GUGCUGCACAGACACCUCCCAGGGCUGUGGUCUGUGCCCUGAUACAAGACAGAACCGGUGCAGAGUGAGGCUGCUUCCCUCCAGUCACGGAGGAGAUUGAGAACAGAGCUAGGAACAGGAGAAUGAGGGAAAAGAUGGGCAUAGAUAAUUGGAUGCUGUUGCUAUGGGGUCAUGGUGGAGGCAGGAAGGUUAGCGUGAAGUAGACUGCAAGGACCCCAGGAAAAUGAUUAUAUAUUCACAUCAUAACAUCUUAGAAGUGCAUGGAAAAUAUUGUGCUGAAGAUACACCAGCUUACUACAAGGGUCUUACGUCAUGUCUUCAACAGAGUUCCCACAAACAAGAUGCUGCGUUACUGCAGCACCAGGCUGUACCAGACCUGAGAAGUCCUCCUCCCUCGGUCCCUGCUGGACAGACGGCCACGUGUGCUGCACGCAGAGCAGUUGGCAGUGCCUCGCGUCUGCGUCUGCACAGGACGCCUCCGUUCCCUCUCUGCAACGUGCUUAGUGUCUGCUGGAUGCUCUGUGAUACAGGCUGUGACUUUAUUUAUUUAUUUUUGGAACAGAGCUCGAAGGGCUGUGAUGGCUAGACAGAGAUGUGUGUGGGGUGCAGGAGAUGAUAGGUAUUAGAUGCUGUCUCACAAGCUGCUUCUCCUUCCGGAUAAACACCUUCCCAUCUGUGUUUUUUGAAGGCCAGUCAUCCUUUGCACCACUUGGGGACUAUAAAUGACAGUCUUUUGCAUCAUGUAUGCAGAGGGGCACCGUUAAUGCUUACAGGGUCUCUUGGGUGGGAAGAUCCCACCCACACUGAGUAAUUCACGGCACGGCAGCUCCCUGUAACACCAAUACUCCUAUUGCUUCUAACAUAUCAGCUUUUAGGCAGGGGCAUAAAGCCCACAUUAUUAGCAUCCAAGACACAUUUCUAUUAAUAGCUGUUCACUGGUUCUAAAUUAGAUCAGCAUAUAUUAGAGCUAUGUAACUGAAUUAAACUAGACUGAAUAUAGAGCUACUAUCAGAAUUUCUACAUUUUUAACUGGAUUUUUCAUUGCGUUCUUGUCUUUAUAACUACAACAAAAUUUUCCUUAGGAUGCUGCCUUGACAAAAUACAGGGCUCUUACAGAGAGAUAAUAAAUAACCUGGCAUACAUUUCCCCCCA